RNAcentral lists this ribosomal RNA (253 nucleotides) under uncultured bacterium. Its description in RNAcentral is "partial 16S ribosomal RNA". It matches the Rfam family "Bacterial small subunit ribosomal RNA", at positions 524 to 776 of the family's 1533-position model. The record is from RNAcentral.
UACAGAGGUCCCAAGCGUUGUUCGGAUUCACUGGGCGUAAAGGGUGCGUAGGUGGUGAGGUAAGUCGGAUGUGAAAUCUCCGAGCUCAACUCGGAAACUGCAUUGGAAACUACCUUGCUCGAGGGUUGGAGGGGGGACUGGAAUGCUUGGUGUAGCAGUGAAAUGCGUAGAUAUCAAGCGGAACACCAGUGGCGAAGGCGAGUCCCUGGACAACUCCUGACACUGAUGCACGAAGGCCAGGGGAGCAAACGGG